RNAcentral lists this long non-coding RNA (1857 nucleotides) under Nicotiana benthamiana. RNAcentral describes it as "long non-coding RNA (NBEN_LNC034598)". The record is from RNAcentral. Lineage: Eukaryota; Viridiplantae; Streptophyta; Magnoliopsida; Solanales; Solanaceae.
AACUUGCAACUCAGCAUAAUGAUUCGACAAGUAUUUGUUUAAUUUUUCUUUUCAUCUUGGCAUUUGGAAGUUGUACGCAACAUUACUAGACUUCUUUUUUGUUCUCGUAAAUAUAAGUUAUAUAUGUACACUGGUUUUAACUAUUUUCAUGAUGAUCUACUAUAUGAUUCAGUAAUCAGUGUAGUACUAGUAUUUUGUGCAGUCUUGAUCCCAAGCCUCUAUACCUUUUUCAUGUAGUACUAGUAUUUUGUGCAGUCUUGAUCCCAAGCCUCUAUACCUUUUUCAUGCUUUCGUAUUCUUGAACACCAAGCAAGCACGAGCUAGACUCGGUCCCUGCCAGUAUUUCACUUCAGCCAUGCAUCUUGAGGCUUCGGCUCAUGUUUAACCCUAGCAACUCGCACCAGAAACAGAUGACAGCUCAUCUCAAGAACAUCACUCGAAGCAUAACUUUCAGUCAAACUAUAAUCAAAUGAGAUGCAACCCAGGCAAACAUAAAUCCUCUCAAGAAAGUCAGCUUAAAAGAGAAUAGGUUCAGGAUAAUCUCCCAUAUAUCUUAGGUUGGACAAAACUAGCAAGUUGCCCCAAAAACACAAAUCAACAUCCUUACAAGUAAUAGAAGAACUAAACUAAGCUCCUUCAUAGAACAUAGUAGAUUAAUUAAUGCAGCUUCAAACAACAGACAAUCUCUGGAGCUGCAAGAGAGAUGGACAGCAAGAGGACAAGGGCAGCAGAUUCACCCAAGAAUGCAUCCUAGGCAUCUAGAACCCUGGUCUACUCCACCAUUCUCUGGAGCUGCCAGAGAGAUAGACAGCAAGAGGAAAAGGGCAGAAGAUUCACCCAGGAAAGCAUCCUAGGCAUCUACAACCCUGCUCUACUUAGAUCUCUGUCUCAUCUUUCUGCGCUUCCUCUUCAGUCUCCUCAUACGCUUCUUCUUCCACUGCAUUUAAAAAAGAAAUAUUAAAGGCUGCCAUAUGGUAAGCAACCCCCACUUCCAACCGAGAGAUUGUGAGUUCGAGUCUCCCCAAGAGCAAAGGUGGAAAGUUCUUGGAGCGGAGGAUGCCGGGGCAUUAGAGGCAGCCGCAGUUACAGUGAUAAGAGAGAACAAAAAUCUUGGCAAACCCCCUUUUGGUACACUUAAUUGUUAUCUGAAGAGGCUAAAGAAAACCCAUUAUCUCAAUUUUCCUCUUAAUCUCUUUGGCUAUAUUCUCAACACAACUUCUGAAUCCAGACAUUCUCUACUCCAUUCCAGGGCCGCACACCAAAACCAGUACAUUCUUUCCCAUUUUUCCCAUAUAAAGCCUGUCAAAUACUUACCCCACCAACAGAUCCCAAAAGGCACAGCACACAUCAAAUAAGCUCUAGUUUAUGCACGGAAAAAUAGUAGUCUAUCUAAACAAAUACAUGUUCAUGACAGAUGGUCCACCACACAAAAAAGAAUUUUUUUUAUAACCAUGGUGUCAAGACAACUUACGCUCAUCAACUAAUUCCACGAGGUACUUAUUACCUCCCACUCCCACCAGGACAGGUACCAAGUACCAUUAUCCACCAAGGCUUGGACAAAUAAGAAAUCAACUAAUGAUUUUGCCUCCAUUUCAUUGACCACUAGCCCACAGACUUGGGUGCACACAUAAGGGAAUUUAGAGUGACUUACAAAAGAACAAGAAGAAAUCUGAAAACAGAAGAUAACACUCGCCGACCAUAUAUAUGCCAUGGUAAAGUUACCAAAACACAAAGUCUAUUAAAGAGCACUGAUUUGAAUAGUCAGUCUACUUUUAUUCCUCUUCCAAUUGCAAUCUACUACAUCAUCAUAUUAAAAGAUAAGUACAUCUCAUACCAUACUCAGGUAGACUAGAAAAA